CCUCGAAGAAUUCGAAGCGAAUGAAGCCGUCGCCAACUGGAGUAGGCUCGUAGGUGAAGUUACCCGCUUUUCUCAUUUGUUUGCCAAAGCUUUCAGGUGUGGUCAAGGUGAGAAAGAAACCCUUUGAAGCAAGGAGUCUGCCGAGCCUCAGGAGCGGGUUUACGUGGCCAUGGCCGGGGAAUGAAACUAGUAAGACAUGAACAAGAGAUUCAGUUCCCAUUAUUCUCGAAUGAUUUGUUCUAAAAUUGGCUAGCUAGCAAUUUAAAUGACAGAUGGGC
RNAcentral lists this long non-coding RNA (278 nucleotides) under Citrus sinensis (sweet orange). RNAcentral describes it as "long non-coding RNA (CSIN_LNC003331)". Lineage: Eukaryota; Viridiplantae; Streptophyta; Magnoliopsida; Sapindales; Rutaceae. The record is from RNAcentral.